CUGAUUGGCUGUGCCAGUCCCGUGACCUCUGCUCCUAAAUCAAGACUGGAGUAAUGAACAGAGGCAAAACCGGGGAUCGGCACAGGAACAGAGGGUCAGAAUUCAAAACAAGUACAUCCUAAACAUGUUCUGAACUUGACAAGCCCUGACCAACCUGAGAUGCUGGUGAUGGGGGCAAUAUGUGCUCCUCCUGACCGUGUCAGGAUAAACCCCUGUAAGAAGACAACCAAACAUCAGACACGACUGUACACAAUGACUUUUGGUGUACAGGAACUUUAUGGAGAAAAGAGAAGAAAACUAUUUCAGUUCACCACUCUGCGAUGCUGGAAGAUCAGAAGUCCUGUAAGGUGCGGAGAGCAGGGCAGGCAAACAGCGGGCCGGGUCCCGGAAUAGAAUAAACAAGGAAUGGGCAAAAAAGCACGGACCUCCAGCUGCUCCACUUUAGAGGUGAAAAGUACGUAAAAAGUACGGGCACAUGACUUACGAGAUUGGUUGCAGUUUGAAGAACUUUUCUUGACACAGUCUUGUCAGGCACAUUUCUUGAA
Long non-coding RNA from Hyla sarda, 545 nucleotides. RefSeq lists it as uncharacterized. The transcript has 3 exons. The record is from RefSeq and is a predicted model, not a curated record. Lineage: Eukaryota; Metazoa; Chordata; Amphibia; Anura; Hylidae.